UGGGGAAUAUUGCACAAUGGGCGCAAGCCUGAUGCAGCCAUGCCGCGUGUGUGAAGAAGGCCUUCGGGUUGUAAAGCACUUUCAGCGAGGAGGAAGGUGGUGAACUUAAUACGUUCAUCAAUUGACGUUACUCGCAGAAGAAGCACCGGCUAACUCCGUGCCAGCAGCCGCGGUAAUACGGAGGGUGCAAGCGUUAAUCGGAAUUACUGGGCGUAAAGCGCACGCAGGCGGUUUGUUAAGUCAGAUGUGAAAUCCCCGGGCUCAACCUGGGAACUGCAUUUGAAACUGGCAAGCUAGAGUCUCGUAGAGGGGGGCUAGAAUUCCAGGUGUAGCGGUGAAAUGCGUAGAGAUCUGGAGGAAUACCGGUGGCGAAGGCGGCCCCCCUGGACGAAGACUGACGCUCAGGUGCGAAAGCGUGGGGCAGCAAACAGGAUUAGAUACCCUGGUAGUCCACGCUGUAAACGAUGUCGAUUUGGAGGUUGUGCCCCUUGAGGCGUGGCUUCCGGAGCUAACGCGUUAAAUCGACCGCCUGGGGAGUACGGCCGCAAGGUUAAAACUCAAAGG
RNAcentral lists this ribosomal RNA (564 nucleotides) under uncultured bacterium. Its description in RNAcentral is "partial 16S ribosomal RNA". It matches the Rfam family "Bacterial small subunit ribosomal RNA", at positions 355 to 907 of the family's 1533-position model. The record is from RNAcentral.